AGUGUCAUUGCAUACUUGAGAACAGAGAAUGGGACUUGACAGGCAGCUCUAUAUAGUAAAGGAGCAUUGACAAGAAGGCAGGAUUUGAUAGCAUCCUCAAUAGUCUUACUCUGUGUAUCUUCCCCAAGCACAUCAACUUGAAGACCUUCACUCCUCAAUGCGUGAAUGGCAUUGCCACGAAGGUGUUGCAGCGGAUGCCGUAUCCCAACAACAACUCUACUAAUCCCUGCCUUGAUUAGGGCGGAAACGGCACUAGUAUCACAGUGACAGUCUCCAGGUUCCAUAUUAAGAUAAGCAGUGGCACCUCUACACUGCUCGCCAGCGGCUUCUACAGCCUGCACUUCCGCCGGAAUAGUCCCUUCGGCGUACAAGUAACCUUCUCCGACCACCGUAGCUCUACCAUUUGGAACAGCGAUAACGCAGCCGAAGUUGGGAUGAGGAGCGGUAAAUCCGGCCGAUUUGUCAGCUAAUUCGGCUGCUCGUUUGAUGUAGAGAGAAUCAAAAGAUGAAGCGGAUGUGUAACUGUAAUUGGAAGAAGAAGAAGCAGAAA
RNAcentral lists this unclassified non-coding RNA (550 nucleotides) under Hevea brasiliensis (rubber tree). The record is from RNAcentral. Lineage: Eukaryota; Viridiplantae; Streptophyta; Magnoliopsida; Malpighiales; Euphorbiaceae.